AUUGGACUACAUGGCAGUCACGGGUACGGAGAUUAGGUUCGAUUCCGGAGAGGAGCCUAGAGAAACGGCUACCACAUCUACGGAAGGCAGCAGGCGACGUAAAUUACCCAAUCCUGAUUCAGGGAGGUAGUGACAAGAAAUAACAACUCGGGCAUUUUUAAUGCUUCGAAUUUGCAAUGGGAACAAUCUAAAUCACUUAUCGAGGAACAAUUGGAGGGCAAGUCUGGUGCCAGCAGCCGCGGUAAUUCCAGCUCCAAUAGCGUAUAUUAAAGUUGUUGCAGUUAAAAAGCUCGUAGUUGAAUUUCUGAUUAUGAAUGUACUGGGUAACCGGUCCAUUUAUAGUCAUCCACAUGAGAACCUUUCUCGGCCUUCACUGGUCGGUUGGGGGAUCAUGUACUUUACUUUGAAAAAAUCAGAGUGUUUCAGGCAGGCGUUUGCAUGAAUACACAAGCAUGGAAUAAUGGAAUAGGACUAGGGUCCAUUUUAUUGGUUAUUGGACCAUAGUAAUGAUUAAUAGGGACAGUUGGGGGG
Molecule: ribosomal RNA, 531 nt
Filed under: uncultured eukaryote
Lineage: Eukaryota
Description: SSU rRNA
Rfam family: Eukaryotic small subunit ribosomal RNA
Source: RNAcentral